UAACGGCCGGUAGAAAGCCUGAUCGGGGCUCAUCCUUCGGGGUGGGAUCUCGGUCAGUUCUCCGGACCCGCGGCCGUCGGUCCGGGCGGUAUGAAACGACUUCAGCGCUGGGCCGCUCCUUUGAGAGCGCCUAGCCUCCCCGCAAGCUCGGGUUGGUCUGUCGGGUCGUGCCCUCACGGGUACGCUCGGCGUCCUCCCGGACUGUUGGCGGGUGACGGCUCAGGCUGUCCGUCCAGCACGCUCGUCGGCGGCGCUUCAGAUUCGGGCACUUAUCCGACCCGUCUUGAAACACGGACCAAGGAGUCUAGCGUGUGCGCGAGUCAUUGGGUGUAAAACCUAAAGGCGUAAUGAAAGUGUCAGCGAGAGGGCUUACGCUCUUUCGGUGGGAGGAUGGGCUCCCGGAUGUCACUCCGGUGCCCCGCACUCCCGGGGCGUUUCAUUCUCAAUUUACGAGUCGAGACGCACCAGGAGCGCACACGCUGGUACCCGAAAGAUGGUGAACUAUGCCUGGCCAGGACGAAGCCAGGGGAAACCCUGGUGGAGGUCCGAAGCGAUUCUGACGUGCAAAUCGAUCGUCUGAGCUGGGUAUAGGGGCGAAAGACCAAUCGAACCAUCUAGUAGCUGGUUCCCUCCGAAGUUUCCCUCAGGAUAGCUGGCUCUCGGGAAGAGACGAGUCUCAUCCGGUAGAGCGAAUGAUUAGAGGUGAUGGGGUCGAAACGACUUCAACCUAUUCUCAAACUCCCAAUAGAUGAGAGCCCCGGCUUGCUUGAAAGUGAAGCCGCGGGACUCGGAUCAGAGGUGCCAAGUGGGCCAAUUUUGGUAAGCAGAACUGGCGCUGUGGGAUGAACCAAACGCAGAGUUAAGGCGCCUGAUUCGACGCUCAUCCGAAACCAUGAAAGGCGUUGGUUGCUUAAGACAGCAGGACGGUGGCCAUGGAAGUCGGAAUCCGCUAAGGAGUGUGUAACAACUCACCUGCCGAAGCAACUAGCCCUGAAAAUGGAUGGCGCUGUAGCGUCGUGCCUAUACUCUGCCGUCAACGGCAAAGCGGGCGGCCCCUCACGGGGCGCUGCCGUUAAGCCUUGACGAGUAGGAGGGUCGCGGCGGUGUGCGCGGAAGGGUCUGGGCGUGAGCCCGCCUGGAGCCGCCGCCGGUGCAGAUCUUGGUGGUAGUAGCAAAUACUCCAGCGAGGCCCUGGAGGACUGAUGUGGAGAAGGGUUUCUUGUGAACAGCUGUUGCACAAGAGUCAGUCGAUCCUAAGCCCUAGGAGAAAUCCGAAGCGAUGGUCUGCCGUUAAAUUUCAUAUUUACCGCAAUUCGGAGUCGUUUGACUUCCGGUUGCGCGGUUAAACAAUGAGAUGGCACCGUCUGGGCGAAAGGGAGUCCGGUUCCUAUUCCGGAACCCGGCCGCGGAACCGCUCCAAUUCGGGCCCUCAUCCGAGGACUCGUCGGGGUGACCCGAAAUGACCCGGAGAAGCCGUAGGGAGGUCCGGGGAGAGUUGUCUCUUCUCUAUAAGCGUUCGAGUUCCCUGGAAGCCUCUAGGAGGGAGAUAGGGUUUGGAACGCGAAGAGCACCGCACUUACGGCGGUGUCCGGAUCUUCCCCUCGGACCUUGAAAAUCCGGGCGAGGGCCACGAGGAACACCGCGCCGGCUCGUACCCAUAUCCGCAGCAGGUCUCCAAGGUGAAUAGCCUCUAGUCGAUAGAAUAAUGUAGGUAAGGGAAGUCGGCAAACCCGAUCUGUAACUUCGGGAUAAGGAUUGGCUCUGAGGAUCGUGGCGCGCCGGGCUUGGUCGGGAAGUGGAGCGGUGCCAACGUGCCGGGCCUGGGCGAGGUGAAGGGCGCUCGUCGUCUGGACCCUAGCUCGGUCCCGUGCCUUGGCCACCCACGGACCUUCCUUGCUGCGAGCCUCCCGGCUGUCUAGUUUUCGGCCCAGCCGGAGUACGGGCCGGAAGGCUCUUCGGCCGCCAUAGAACGAUCAACUUAGAACUGGCACGGACCAGGGGAAUCCGACUGUCUAAUUAAAACAAAGCAUUGCGAUGGCCCUAACGGGUGAUGACGCAAUGUGAUUUCUGCCCAGUGCUCUGAAUGUCAACGUGAAG
RNAcentral lists this ribosomal RNA (2097 nucleotides) under Scolopocerus secundarius. RNAcentral describes it as "partial large subunit ribosomal RNA". It matches the Rfam family "Eukaryotic large subunit ribosomal RNA", at positions 572 to 2227 of the family's 3401-position model. Lineage: Eukaryota; Metazoa; Arthropoda; Insecta; Hemiptera; Coreidae. The record is from RNAcentral.